RNAcentral lists this ribosomal RNA (449 nucleotides) under uncultured bacterium. Its description in RNAcentral is "partial 16S ribosomal RNA". It matches the Rfam family "Bacterial small subunit ribosomal RNA", at positions 354 to 796 of the family's 1533-position model. The record is from RNAcentral.
GUCGAGAAUCUUUCACAAUGGGGGCAACCCUGAUGGAGCGACGCCGCGUGGAGGAUAAGGUCUUCGGAUUGUAAACUCCUGUCAUGCGUGAACAAGGUUGCUUGGUUAAUACCUGGGCAAAUUGAUGGUAACGCAAGAGGAAGAGACGGCUAACUCUGUGCCAGCAGCCGCGGUAAUACAGAGGUCUCAAGCGUUGUUCGGAAUCACUGGGCGUAAAGGGUGCGUAGGUGGCGUGGUAAGUCAGGUGUGAAAGCCCGGGGCUCAACCUCGGAACUGCAUCCGAUACUGCCAUGCUAGAGUACUGGAGAGGUGACUAGAAUUCUCGGUGUAGCAGUGAAAUGCGUAGAUAUCGAGAGGAAUACCAAAGGCGUAGGCAGGUCACUGGACAGUUACUGACACUGAGGCACGAAGGCCAGGGGAGCGAACGGGAUUAGAAACCCGUGUAGUCC